AGGAUGAACGCUAGCGGCAGGCCUAAUACAUGCAAGUCGAACGGUGGUAGCAAUAUCAUAGUGGCGCACGGGUGCGUAACACGUAACUAACCUACCUAUAACUGGGGGAUAGCCCGCCGAAAGGCGGAUUAAUACCGCAUAAGCUGUUGAGGUGGCAUCACCUUAUUAGUAAAGAUUUAUUGGUUAUAGAUGGGGUUGCGGGUCAUUAGCUAGUUGGUAGGGUAACGGCUUACCAAGGCGACGAUGACUAGGGGAGCUGAGAGGCUGGUCCCCCACACGGGCACUGAGAUACGGGCCCGACUCCUACGGGAGGCAGCAGUAGGGAAUAUUGGGCAAUGGGCGAGAGCCUGACCCAGCCAUGCCGCGUGCAGGAUGAAGGCUUUCUGAGUCGUAAACUGCUUUUGACAGGGAAGAAUAAGGCUUACGUGUAGGCUGAUGACGGUACCUGCAGAAUAGCACCGGCUAACUCCGUGCCAGCACGCCGCGGUAA
RNAcentral lists this ribosomal RNA (490 nucleotides) under uncultured bacterium. RNAcentral's name for it is "SSU rRNA". It matches the Rfam family "Bacterial small subunit ribosomal RNA", at positions 26 to 523 of the family's 1533-position model. The record is from RNAcentral.